GGAUAGCUCAGUCGGUAGAGCACGAGACUCUUAAUCUCAGGGUUGUGGGUUCAAGCCCCAAGUUGGGCG
Non-coding RNA from Podarcis lilfordi (Lilford's wall lizard), 69 nucleotides. The record is from the annotation of a GenBank genome assembly. Lineage: Eukaryota; Metazoa; Chordata; Lepidosauria; Squamata; Lacertidae.